CCUACGGGAGGCAGCAGUGGGGAAUAUUGCACAAUGGGGGGAACCCUGAUGCAGCAAUGCCGCGUGGGUGAAGAAGUACCCCGGUAUGUAAAGCCCUUUCAGCAGGGAAGAAAAUGACGGUACCUGACUAAGAAGCCCCGGCUAACUACGUGCCAGCAGCCGCGGUAAUACGUAGGGGGCGAGCGUUAUCCGGAUUUACUGGGUGUAAAGGGAGCGCAGGCGGCGUGGCAAGUCAGAUGUGAAAACCCGGGGCCCAACCCCGGGACUGCAUUUGAAACUGCCAUGCUGGAGUGCCGGAGAGGCAAGUGGAAUUCCUAGUGUAGCGGUGAAAUGCGUAGAUAUUAGGAGGAACACCAGUGGCGGAGGCGGCUUGCUGGACGGUAACUGACGCUGAGGCUCGAAAGCGUGGGGAGCAAACAGGAUUAGAUACCCCAGUAGU
This 439-nucleotide ribosomal RNA is filed under the name uncultured bacterium. RNAcentral's name for it is "bacterial SSU rRNA". It matches the Rfam family "Bacterial small subunit ribosomal RNA", at positions 338 to 794 of the family's 1533-position model. The record is from RNAcentral.